UCUCCGUAGGUGAACCUGCGGAGGGAUCAUUAACGCUUUUGUCGUCCACGGUGGGGUUGAUCGGCAUCUUCCAAAGGUGCUUGGUCCCCUUCCGACACCAAAAAAAAAACGUAAACCGUUGAAGUCCUUAACAGUUAUCUGAACGCCACAAGGCUUUUAAAUCGGAUUAACUUGUAACAAGGCUAAGCAAUUUUACCUCUGAUUUGUGUUGAGAGUCUUCGGACUUUCUACUUAAUCUGAUGUGAAACUCUUACAAAACAUAACUUUAGCGAUAACUCUUAACGAUGGACACCUUGGCUCCC
This 302-nucleotide unclassified non-coding RNA is filed under the name soil metagenome. RNAcentral describes it as "partial contains small subunit ribosomal RNA and internal transcribed spacer 1". The record is from RNAcentral.